This is a non-coding RNA of Trichonephila clavata, 74 nucleotides long. The record is from the annotation of a GenBank genome assembly. NCBI's taxonomy places the organism in Eukaryota, Metazoa, Arthropoda, Arachnida, Araneae, Nephilidae.
GUCCCAAUAGAGCAAUAGAUAGCACGUUGAACUCCUAAUUCAAACGUCGUGGGUUUCGAAUCCCAUCUGGGAUG